GACGAACGCUGGCGGCGUGCCUAACACAUGCAAGUCGAACGGGGGUAUUUAUUUCGAUGAAUACCUUAGUGGCGAACGGGUGAGUAACGCGUGAGCAACCUAUCCUUAAGAGGGGGAUAACAUCUGGAAACAGAUGCUAAUACCGCAUAAGACCACACUGCCGCAUGGCAGAGGGGUCAAAGGAGCAAUCCGUUUAAGGAGGGGCUCGCGUCCCAUUAGAUAGUUGGGGAGGUAACAGCUCACCAAGUCAGCGAUGGGUAGCCGAGCUGAGAGGCUGAUCGGCCACACUGGAACUGAGACACGGUCCAGACUCCUACGGGAGGCAGCAGUGGGGAAUAUUGGGCAAUGGGGGGAACCCUGACCCAGCAACGCCGCGUGAGGGAAGAAGGCCUUCGGGUUGUAAACCUCUGUCAUUAGGGAAGAAGAAAGUGACGGUACCUAAUGAGGAAGCCCCGGCUAACUACGUGCCAGCAGCCGCCGUAA
Molecule: ribosomal RNA, 483 nt
Filed under: uncultured bacterium
Lineage: Bacteria
Description: partial 16S ribosomal RNA
Rfam family: Bacterial small subunit ribosomal RNA
Source: RNAcentral